Molecule: non-coding RNA, 29 nt
Filed under: Rattus norvegicus (Norway rat)
Lineage: Eukaryota; Metazoa; Chordata; Mammalia; Rodentia; Muridae
Source: RNAcentral
UCCCAACUCCAGUACCUGUUGUUGUAAAA